Molecule: ribosomal RNA, 494 nt
Filed under: uncultured bacterium
Lineage: Bacteria
Description: partial 16S ribosomal RNA
Rfam family: Bacterial small subunit ribosomal RNA
Source: RNAcentral
GACGAACGCUGGCGGCGUGCUUAACACAUGCAAGUCGAACGGUGAAGCGCCUUCCUUUUUGGUGGGUGUGGAUGAGUGGCGAACGGGUGAGUAACACGCGAGUAACCUGCCCCCUUCUUCUGGAUAACCGCAUGAAAGUGUGGCUAAUACGGGAUAUUCUGGGUCUGUCGCAUGAUGGGUCUGGGAAAGAUAUUGUUUCGGUGGGGGAUGGGCUCGCGGCCUAUCAGCUUGUUGGUGGGGUGAUGGCCUACCAAGGCGGUGACGGGUAGCCGGCCUGAGAGGGUGGACGGUCACACUGGGACUGAGACACGGCCCAGACUCCUACGGGAGGCAGCAGUGGGGAAUAUGGCACAAUGGGCGCAAGCCUGAUGCAGCGACGCCGCGUGAGGGAUGGAGGCCUUCGGGUUGUGAACCUCUUUCGCCAGUGAAGCAGGCCUGCCUCGUUUGUGGGUGGGUUGACGGUAGCUGGAGAAGAAGCGCCGGCUAACUACGUG